This 433-nucleotide ribosomal RNA is filed under the name uncultured bacterium. RNAcentral describes it as "partial 16S ribosomal RNA". It matches the Rfam family "Bacterial small subunit ribosomal RNA", at positions 29 to 507 of the family's 1533-position model. The record is from RNAcentral.
AGCGAACGCUGGCGGCAGGCCUAACACAUGCAAGUCGAACGAACUCUUCGGAGUUAGUGGCGGACGGGUGAGUAACACGUGGGAACGUGCCUUUUGGUUCGGAAUAACUCAGGGAAACUUGUGCUAAUACCGAAUGUGCCCUUCGGGGGAAAGAUUUAUCGCCAUUAGAGCGGCCCGCGUCUGAUUAGCCAGUUGGUGAGGUAACGGCGCACCAAGGCGACGAUCAGUAGCUGGGCUUGGAGGAUGACCCGCCACACUGGGACUGAGACACGGCCCAGAAUACUACCGGAGGGAGGCAUGGGGAAUCCUGGCCAAUGGGGGGAAGGCUGAAGGAACCAUGCCGGGUGAAUGAUUAAGGUCUUAGGAUUGUAAAAUUCUUUCACCGGGGACGAUAAUGACGGUACCCGGAGAAGAAGCCCCGGCUAACUUCGUG